Molecule: ribosomal RNA, 384 nt
Filed under: bacterium 47-L049658-122-015-G06
Lineage: Bacteria
Description: bacterial SSU rRNA
Rfam family: Bacterial small subunit ribosomal RNA
Source: RNAcentral
GAUUAUCUAGUUGGCGGGGUAAAGGCCCACCAAGGCGACGAUCCGUAGCUGGUCUGAGAGGAUGAUCAGCCACACUGGAACUGAGACACGGUCCAGACUCCUACGGGAGGCAGCAGUGGGGAAUAUUGGACAAUGGGCGCAAGCCUGAUCCAGCCAUGCCGCGUGGGUGAAGAAGGCCUUCGGGUUGUAAAGCCCUUUUGUUGGGAAAGAAAAGCAGUCGGUUAAUACCCGAUUGUUCUGACGGUACCCAAAGAAUAAGCACCGGCUAACUUCGUGCCAGCAGCCGCGGUAAUACGAAGGGUGCAAGCGUUACUCGGAAUUACUGGGCGUAAAGCGUGCGUAGGUGGUUUGUUAAGUCUGAUGUGAAAGCCCUGGGCUCAACCU